RNAcentral lists this long non-coding RNA (291 nucleotides) under Setaria viridis. RNAcentral's name for it is "long non-coding RNA (SVIR_LNC000380)". The record is from RNAcentral. Lineage: Eukaryota; Viridiplantae; Streptophyta; Magnoliopsida; Poales; Poaceae.
CGGUGUUGGAUCUAUUGGUUCUAUCGCCAUGAUCUCCCUGAGUACGAGUUUGCUGGCUCGCUUGGAUGCGGUGCCUGGAAUUCCACCAAAAAUGACAUUGACUAUCUUGGAGGUGGUCUGGAAGUCGCCUUCCUCUUCUUCGUCGUUGUGGACUUUGUUCUUGCCCUUGUCCUUUAUCUUCUGUAUUCUUCAAGGGGUGGUGGUGCGGGUAACUCUUACAUGACUCGGCGCAUGCUGUAGCAGUCUAUCGCCGAGUGUUUGCUAGUCAGGUGCCAUGGGCACUGCUUUUUG